UUGCUCUGUGAUUGAAAGCCGUAAUUAGCUCCUGUAGGAUUUAUAAGACAAUGAGUUGAAAUGCUCAAGCCUUGUGAGCUAGAGGAGAACAAACCUGUGUGCAAAAUACUCCUUCAACUCUUGGUCAUAGACAACAUCAGGUUUCUGGAAAAGCAAGUUAAGCAAUGGAUCCUGGCACACUCGGAACAAGGCCAUUACUCACAUUCUAUCUUCUCUCUGGAAUGGACGACCUGCUCC
Molecule: long non-coding RNA, 237 nt
Filed under: Lynx canadensis (Canada lynx)
Lineage: Eukaryota; Metazoa; Chordata; Mammalia; Carnivora; Felidae
Description: lncRNA (ENSLCNG00005015003.1)
Source: RNAcentral